UGUGUCUCAAGGUACCCAUUAGAGUUUGUCAGCUACCUUUGCCACUCUUGCCAUAAGGACAAACAUCAUUACACCUGCACAGAAGCCAUGAAACUGGAGAUAUAUUAAGCACAAUGUUGCUUGCUUGGAAGCUUAAUAGCUUGAUUUGCUUAAAUUAUCUACAUACCCGGUUGUACUUAAUUUGUAAACAAAGUGGGUAAUGCUGCAAUACUUUUGGCUGAACAAAUACAGUUUCAUUUGAACAAGAAAACUGAAUUGCUAUGCAACAUUAUUGUCUAAUAAUAUGCUAAAGUUGUCUUGUUAGCUGUUGUUCUGACGUACAACUCAAUGAUUGCAACUA
Long non-coding RNA from Lycium ferocissimum, 340 nucleotides. RefSeq lists it as uncharacterized. Lineage: Eukaryota; Viridiplantae; Streptophyta; Magnoliopsida; Solanales; Solanaceae. The record is from RefSeq and is a predicted model, not a curated record. The transcript is spliced from 2 exons.